AUUGAACGCUGGCGGAAUGCUUUACACAUGCAAGUCGAACGGUAGAGGGGGCAACCCCUCGAGAGUGGCGAACGGGUGAGUAAUAUAUCGGAACGUGCCCAGUCGUGGGGGAUAACGUAGCGAAAGUUACGCUAAUACCGCAUACGAUCUAAGGAUGAAAGCGGGGGAUCGCAAGACCUCGCGCGAUUGGAGCGGCCGAUAUCAGAUUAGGUAGUUGGUGGGGUAAAGGCUCACCAAGCCAACGGUCUGUAGCUGGUCGGAGAGGACGACCAGCCACACUGGAACUGAGACACGGUCCAGACUCCUACGGGAGGCAGCAGUGGGGAAUUUUGGACAAUGGACGAAAGUCUGAUCCAGCCAUUCCGCGUGCAGGAUGAAGGCCCUCGGGUUGUAAACUGCUUUUGUACGGAACGAAAAGGUCUCUCUUAAUACGGGGGGCUCAUGACGGUACCGUAAGAAUAAGCACCGGCUAACUAGGUGCCAGCAGCCGCCGUAA
RNAcentral lists this ribosomal RNA (496 nucleotides) under uncultured bacterium. Its description in RNAcentral is "partial 16S ribosomal RNA". It matches the Rfam family "Bacterial small subunit ribosomal RNA", at positions 30 to 523 of the family's 1533-position model. The record is from RNAcentral.